This 460-nucleotide ribosomal RNA is filed under the name uncultured bacterium. Its description in RNAcentral is "partial 16S ribosomal RNA". It matches the Rfam family "Bacterial small subunit ribosomal RNA", at positions 338 to 795 of the family's 1533-position model. The record is from RNAcentral.
CCUACGGGAGGCAGCAGUGAGGAAUAUUGGUCGAUGGGCGAGAGCCUGAACCAGCCAAGUCGCGUGAGGGAAGACGGUCCUAUGGAUUGUAAACCUCUUUUGUCGGGGAGCAAAAAGGCCUCGUGAGGCAACAAGUGAGAGUACCCGAAGAAAAAGCAUCGGCUAACUCCGUGCCAGCAGCCGCGGUAAUACGGAGGAUGCGAGCGUUAUCCGGAUUUAUUGGGGUUAAAGGGUGCGUAGGCGGACUGGAAAGUCAGCGGUAAAAUCGAGAGGCUCAACCUCUUUCCGCCGUUGAAACUGUCGGUCUUGAGUGGGCGAGAAGUAUGCGGAAGGCGUGGUGUAGCGGUGAAAUGCAUAGAUAGCACGCAGAACUCCGAUUGCGAAGGCAGUUCACUGGACUGCAACUGACACUGAGGCUCGAAAGUGUGGGUAUCAAACAGGAUUAGAUACCCCAGUAGUC